Solanum stenotomum is the source of this 938-nucleotide long non-coding RNA. RefSeq lists it as uncharacterized. NCBI's taxonomy places the organism in Eukaryota, Viridiplantae, Streptophyta, Magnoliopsida, Solanales, Solanaceae. The record is from RefSeq and is a predicted model, not a curated record. The transcript has 2 exons.
ACUUCUCACAUGAUCAAACAUCUGGACCUUCUGAAACUUUGUGAUGCAAACUUGUUAUCUUUUCUGAGUUCUGACAUCUUGUAUUUGCAGGAUUGUAGGUGGUACUAAUUCUGUGCACAUUUAAUAAGGAGCUUUUUUACUUUCUUGUUUUUUACAUCAACAACUUACCUUGUAUAAUCACACAAGCGGGGUUUGUGAGCAGAGUAAAGUGUAUACAGACCUUUACCUUACCUAGUAAAGAUAGAGAGGCUGUUUCCGAACUUUCUUGCUUUUCAUCAUCUAAUAUCUCCUUGAUCUGUCAUUUGUGUGCCUGCAUCUAUUCCCCAGUGUUUCUCUGCUUUUCUCCCUAUUUGCAGUGAACCGUUGAGUCAGGUUACUAUGCUGGGAGCAGAUUUGUCAAAGGCUUGCUAAAGGCUGUGAUGGAGCCACCCUUGUCCAAAGGACACCCCUUCGCUGCAAAAUUACAAUGUGGAUAGUUAUGUCAAGUCUCUGCUCAUGACAUUUAACUGUCAUAUUGGCAUAAAAUGCUGGUUUGGUAGGAGCUUAUGAGAAACGCUGGUCCUAUAUCCGUAUUGGAGCCUGAUUAAAUUUGGAUUGGUGCAUCCAUAUUUGGGGGUGGCACUCCCAACACAAGAUUUUUUCCAUGUACAGGGGUUUGAACCCGAGACUUUUGGUUUAGAGUGGAGGAUUCUAAAAUCAUUCCACGCCAACCCAUCACUGGUGAUGUGUUGCUCGGGAAGAUUUAUACAAAUAGAAUCAUUGUGCUGUUAUUUAAUUUCCAAUUCCAUUUAAAUAGUUGUGAAAAAAUAACCUUCACAAAGUUUGAAGUUUUACCAAAGAUUUGAUACAAAUUGUGUUGUAAAUUUGGAAUAAAUUGUUGUGAGGGAUCACCAAAAAUUUCUAAUCGAUGGGUGUCAUAACACCUGACGAAUCACCAA